Molecule: non-coding RNA, 386 nt
Organism: Nelumbo nucifera (sacred lotus)
Lineage: Eukaryota; Viridiplantae; Streptophyta; Magnoliopsida; Proteales; Nelumbonaceae
Source: RefSeq, a predicted model, not a curated record
CAUUGCAUCUGUGACCUGAUUACAUGAAAGAGUAAACCAAUUAUGUUGCAGCCUCUGAAAAUUGCCGUUGAGGAGAACCAGACGGUUCUGGAUGACACACCUGAUAAACUUGGUAUAAAAGUGGUCAAAGUUUCAAACUAUUGGGAAGCUAUAGGUGUCAUUGCAGCUCACAAGGCUGGGGUAGACCCAAAGUCUCUCCGCAUAAAUGGAAUAAAGCAAAUUAGCUCUUCUGUUGUACAUUCUUAUAAUGGCUAUUUAGCUUGAAGUGCGGCAUGCGUUUCUUGAUCCAUUCUGUUUUUUGAGCAUGCCAGUUUUCUGUGUACUACACAAUUUUAUUUUGUAGCCAUUGCUUACAGUCAGAAGGAAGCACUUUUUUUCAACAGUAA